UACGGAGGGUGCAAGCGUUAAUCGGAAUUACUGGGCGUAAAGGGUGCGUAGGUUGUUAGUUAAGUUAUCUGUAAAAUCCCUGGGCUUAACCUGGGCAGGUCAGAUAAGACUGAUUGACUCGAGUAUGGGAGAGGGUAGUGGAAUUUCCGGUGUAGCGGUGAAAUGCGUAGAGAUCGGAAGGAACACCAGUGGCGAAGGCGGCUACCUGGCCCAAUACUGACACUGAGGCACGAAAGCGUGGGGAGCAAACAGG
This 253-nucleotide ribosomal RNA is filed under the name uncultured bacterium. RNAcentral's name for it is "partial 16S ribosomal RNA". It matches the Rfam family "Bacterial small subunit ribosomal RNA", at positions 524 to 776 of the family's 1533-position model. The record is from RNAcentral.